GUAUUUAAUUUGGGAAUAAAAUGGGUUUGGAUUGAGCCAUUUAUUAAAUAAACGGGAAACGGGAAUCCGUAUACAUAGACGUGGUUUCCUCCCUCCCCAUUUCCCUAGAUCUGUAGAUCAAAAACAAAAAUGAAUACCAAAAUUGACCAAAAAACCCUUACACAUGGACAUGGAAAUGGACAUACUCCCCUUUCCCGUACAGGGCCCCGUCAAUCCCAUUCUCAC
RNAcentral lists this long non-coding RNA (225 nucleotides) under Actinidia chinensis (golden kiwifruit). Its description in RNAcentral is "long non-coding RNA (ACHI_LNC007726)". The record is from RNAcentral. Lineage: Eukaryota; Viridiplantae; Streptophyta; Magnoliopsida; Ericales; Actinidiaceae.